GACGCGCGCCUGGGCCGGACGUGUCUCCGGAAUGUCCAGCAACAAUUUGUACCACCCUGCAUGAAUUGUUGCUGGACAUUUCUAAUUAUUUAAGUUUACUCCAAUCAUCACCCCAUGUGCAGCGCUAUCAUUAAAAAGGUUACUCUCAACCUUACACGCAAUACACAACAUUCGCCUGAAAUAAAGAUGUCGCUCCUGCAGCCAGUAGAGACGCAGUGAAAAAUACUUGUCCUCGAGUAACCAACGCGUUCUACUGGGAACGACCCAGCGGCGGACACCCGGCGAAACAAAUACCAGCUGCUGUGAACAUACUGCUGUUUUAUAAUUUGGAUACUUUGUUUUAAAACGGCCCAAAAUACUGUUGACAUUUCAGUAUUUUUAUCAUUUUAUAUAUGAAUGUUUAGUGAUGCUUCUUAAUGUUAUUUUUGAUAUUGUGUUCAAGUUUUAUAUUUUAGAUAUAAUUUAAUCCGGCACAGCGUUUUUUUUGUUGUUGUGUUGUGCCAACAGUAUUCGUGUAUUCUACCCGUGUAUUAGUUUAUCCCCGGACCGCAGAGACAGUCUGAUUGUAACACUAGUCCUGGAAGCUGGCCUAAAGGAGUGGGAUCUACUAGAUGUGAAUGUAAUGGCUUUGAAGCCAACACUAACCACUGAGUCAUUGUUUAGCCGCAACAAAGCUUCUUCUUGUUAUAUUACGAUAAUGCUUGUUCUAAUGUAAUUUAUGAUGACAGUCACGAACGCAUGCAACACAACGAGGUUGUCUGAAAUAGUAUUAUAAGACCAGUUAUAUUCCAAUCGAUAAAAUAUAAAUGGUGUAAUAUGUAAAUCUAUACUUCAAGCUAAUAAAAUAACUGUUAGGCAUGUGGAAGUAGUGAAUUAAUAUAAGAAUCAUAUUAUCAAUUUGUUAGAAUAUAUUCCACAAAUCAAAUCUCGAUGUCUGUAGGAUUCAAUGUAUCGUAUUUAAUCCCUAAUAGUAUACGUAAGAGAUCAACAAUACAUCAAGAGCAACAUCAUAAACUAUUCACAAGCGGGCAACUAGUUUAAGUUUUAGUGGGUAAGAACUAAAUUAUUAAUCAGUUUUAUUAAAUAGGUUAAGUAGCAA
Molecule: long non-coding RNA, 1099 nt
Organism: Manduca sexta (tobacco hornworm)
Lineage: Eukaryota; Metazoa; Arthropoda; Insecta; Lepidoptera; Sphingidae
Exons: 2
Source: RefSeq, a predicted model, not a curated record